This 373-nucleotide ribosomal RNA is filed under the name uncultured organism. RNAcentral describes it as "partial 16S ribosomal RNA". It matches the Rfam family "Bacterial small subunit ribosomal RNA", at positions 527 to 896 of the family's 1533-position model. The record is from RNAcentral.
GUAGGGUGCGAGCGUUAAUCGGAAUUACUGGGGCGUAAAGCGUGCGCAGGCGGCUUUGCAAGACAGAUGUGAAAUCCCCGGGGCUCAACCUGGGGAACUGCAUUUGUGACUGCAAGGCUAGAGUACGGCAGAGGGGGAUGGAAUUCCGCGUGUAGCAGUGAAAUGCGUAGAUAUGCGGAGGAACACCGAUGGCGAAGGCAAUCCCCUGGGCCUGUACUGACGCUCAUGCACGAAAGCGUGGGGAGCAAACAGGAUUAGAUACCCUGGUAGUCCACGCCCUAAACGAUGUCAACUGGUUGUUGGACGGCUUGCUGUUCAGUAACGAAGCUAACGCGUGAAGUUGACCGCCUGGGGAGUACGGCCGCAAAGGUUG